RNAcentral lists this ribosomal RNA (756 nucleotides) under uncultured bacterium. RNAcentral's name for it is "bacterial SSU rRNA". It matches the Rfam family "Bacterial small subunit ribosomal RNA", at positions 70 to 795 of the family's 1533-position model. The record is from RNAcentral.
CUUCUUUAUCACCGAGUGCUUGCACUCACCGAUAAAGAGUUGAGUGGCGAACGGGUGAGUAACACGUGGGCAACCUGCCCAAAAGAGGGGGAUAACACUUGGAAACAGGUGCUAAUACCGCAUAACCAUAGUUACCGCAUGGUAACUAUGUAAAAGGUGGCUAUGCUACCGCUUUUGGAUGGGCCCGCGGCGCAUUAGCUAGUUGGUGGGGUAAAGGCUUACCAAGGCGAUGAUGCGUAGCCGAACUGAGAGGUUGAUCGGCCACAUUGGGACUGAGACACGGCCCAAACUCCUACGGGAGGCAGCAGUAGGGAAUCUUCCACAAUGGGCGAAAGCCUGAUGGAGCAACGCCGCGUGGGUGAAGAAGGUCUUCGGAUCGUAAAACCCUGUUGUUAGAGAAGAAAGUGCGUGAGAGUAACUGUUCACGUUUCGACGGUAUCUAACCAGAAAGCCACGGCUAACUACGUGCCAGCAGCCGCGGUAAUACGUAGGUGGCGAGCGUUAUCCGGAUUUAUUGGGCGUAAAGGGAACGCAGGCGGUCUUUUAAGUCUGAUGUGAAAGCCUUCGGCUUAACCGGAGUAGUGCAUUGGAAACUGGGAGACUUGAGUGCAGAAGAGGAGAGUGGAACUCCAUGUGUAGCGGUGAAAUGCGUAGAUAUAUGGAAGAACACCAGUGGCGAAAGCGGCUCUCUGGUCUGUAACUGACGCUGAGGUUCGAAAGCGUGGGUAGCAAACAGGAUUAGAUACCCUGGUAGUC